UACGUAGGUGGCAAGCGUUGUCCGGAUUUACUGGGCGUAAAGAGCGCGCAGGCGGUCGUUCAAGUCGCGUGUGAAAGCCCCCGGCUCAACUGGGGAGGGUCACGCGAUACUGAUCGACUCGAAGGCAGGAGAGGGUAGUGGAAUUCCCGGUGUAGCGGUGAAAUGCGCAGAUAUCGGGAGGAACACCAGUAGCGAAGGCGGCACUCUGGGCCGGUACUGACGCUGAGGAGCGAAAGCGUGGGGAGCGAACAGG
This 253-nucleotide ribosomal RNA is filed under the name uncultured bacterium. RNAcentral's name for it is "partial 16S ribosomal RNA". It matches the Rfam family "Bacterial small subunit ribosomal RNA", at positions 524 to 776 of the family's 1533-position model. The record is from RNAcentral.